UGGGAAUCGAGGUGAAGAAAUUAAUGAAAGUCCCGCAGGGAGUGACUAGCACCCCUGAAAAUACCAUGUGGAAGUUUCUCUGUCCUGGUAAGAUUUUAUCGAUAAGAUGAGCAAUUGUUUUAUUGCUCAAAGAGGGGAAUGUAAGAAUAUUAAAUAGUUAACUUGUUUAUAUGUAUUUUAUGCUUUUAUAAGGUUUAUAACAUGAUUAUUGCUGACUGAAGGAAUAUUGAAUACUUAAAGUCAAUAUGCUGACUGUGACAGACUAAGGUAUUUCUUCUAUAGGAUGUAAGACAAUGCUAAAUCUCAGGAUGUCUUGCCCAUUCCGAUUUUAAGGAUAUUCUUUUCCAGACGUAUGCAAAAGCUUAUCUUUCCAUUGUCAGAAUAACGUAAUAUAAGGAAGUAAUAAAUCUUAUAGUCUGUACUGUAAUGAAUGACAUAUACCAUGGCUAAUGUAAGCAAACUAUGUAUAAAAGCCAGCUCUGGAAUACACUCAUUUGAGAGUCUUGUAAAGCUGUUGUCCGUGUGUUAAUGCUUACAAUGAUCCUCCAUCAACGUUGAUUAUGGUGACCGAGGGAUCGAGAACCGAGGGGAUUAGAGUCCAUUACAACAUUAACCCUUUCACUCUGC
Non-coding RNA from Pelobates cultripes (western spadefoot toad), 627 nucleotides. NCBI's taxonomy places the organism in Eukaryota, Metazoa, Chordata, Amphibia, Anura, Pelobatidae. The record is from the annotation of a GenBank genome assembly.